Small nuclear RNA from Chlorocebus sabaeus (green monkey), 107 nucleotides. NCBI's taxonomy places the organism in Eukaryota, Metazoa, Chordata, Mammalia, Primates, Cercopithecidae. The record is from Ensembl.
GUGCUCGCUUUGGCAGCACAUAUACUAAAAUUGGAAUGAUGCAAAGAAGAUUAGCAUGGCCCCUGCACAAGGAUGACAUGCAAAUUCAUGAAGCGUUCCACAUUUUU